Molecule: transfer RNA, 84 nt
Filed under: archaeon
Lineage: Archaea
Description: tRNA-Ser
Rfam family: tRNA
About the family: Transfer RNA (tRNA) molecules are approximately 80 nucleotides in length. Their secondary structure includes four short double-helical elements and three loops (D, anti-codon, and T loops).
Source: RNAcentral
GCCGCGAUCGCAUAACCUGGUAUUGCGCAAGAUUGCUAAUCUUGUUUCCGUAUGGAUAUCUGGGUUCAAAUCCCAGUCGCGGCG